This 221-nucleotide non-coding RNA is filed under the name Myotis brandtii (Brandt's bat). RNAcentral's name for it is "Eukaryotic large subunit ribosomal RNA". It matches the Rfam family "Eukaryotic large subunit ribosomal RNA", at positions 1136 to 1357 of the family's 3401-position model. Lineage: Eukaryota; Metazoa; Chordata; Mammalia; Chiroptera; Vespertilionidae. The record is from Rfam by way of RNAcentral.
UUUGGUAAGCAGAACUGGCGCUGCGGGGUGAACCGAAAGCCUGCUUAAGGCGCCCGAUGCCGAAGCUCUUCAGACCCCAGAAAAGGUGUUGGUUUAUAGCGACAGCAGGACAGGGGUCAUGGAAGUCGGAAUCCCCUAAGGAGUGUGUAACAACUCACCUACUAAAUCAACUACCCUGAAAACAGAUGGCGCCGGUGCCACGGGCCCAUACCCGGCUGUAG